GGAUGUGUUUGGGAUAGAAGAAUCUCCGAGGGAAUUGGAACAGCUAGCUGACACUGCUGGCUUAAUGGUUGUUGGCUCUACCUACCAGAAGUAAGUUCUAAGUUCUAAGUUCUAACUGCUUUGUAAUUUAUUUGUUUUUCUUGGUUUGGUUUGCCUUCAAUUUGAAACAUAGCAUAGUUCAACACAAAGGUCGACUUCCCAAUGCAUUGAAGGUGAGAGUUAUGUUUAUGUUGGUUGAGAAGAGGGAAAUCUUGGUCACUGAAUUAUUUAUGGAUAGUGAAGAUUACAAAAGUUAUUUAAAAAGCUGUAUGGUAACUUAAAAUAGUUGCAUAACUUUAUGUGUUAUUAUAUUAGUAUUUAUUAUUCAGUGGUCAAGAUUCAAUAUUUACUUAUUUUGUUCUCACCAAUGACCAGCCUUCCAACUUGAUAUGUUCGAUCUGAUUUUGUAUCUAAUUCUAUUCUCUGUGCUUACGCUGCGAAAAUUCUUUGGGAAUAGAGUGCAGGCAUUGUAGUUAUCUUCUGCGUGCAUGAUAAACUAGUAACUGAGUCUCUUUGAUUCCAUUUGUUUUCAACUACCUGAUGACCACUUCUUAUUUAUGAUAGGAGCUAUAUUUAGUUUAUGACAGGAUCUGUUUUUAAUCCUUCUGGUUGCUAGAGGGUGAAGUUACAGGGAACAGCAAUUGAAGGACUGGAUAAAGAGGAAAAAAUUAAUUGCAUAUAGACAAUUACUUGAGAAGGAAUAUUCACAAAGUCACUAUUACUGCAAUAAAAUUAUCAUUUAAAAGAGGUAA
Non-coding RNA from Arachis ipaensis, 791 nucleotides. NCBI's taxonomy places the organism in Eukaryota, Viridiplantae, Streptophyta, Magnoliopsida, Fabales, Fabaceae. The record is from RefSeq and is a predicted model, not a curated record.